UACGUAGGGGGCAAGCGUUAUCCGGAUUUACUGGGUGUAAAGGGAGCGUAGACGGAGAAGCAAGUCUGAAGUGAAAGCCCGUGGCUUAACCACGGGACUGCUUUGGAAACUGUUUGACUAGAGUGCUGGAGAGGUAAGUGGAAUUCCUAGUGUAGCGGUGAAAUGCGUAGAUAUUAGGAGGAACACCAGUGGCGAAGGCGGCUUACUGGACAGUAACUGACGUUGAGGCUCGAAAGCGUGGGGAGCAAACAGG
RNAcentral lists this ribosomal RNA (253 nucleotides) under uncultured bacterium. RNAcentral's name for it is "partial 16S ribosomal RNA". It matches the Rfam family "Bacterial small subunit ribosomal RNA", at positions 524 to 776 of the family's 1533-position model. The record is from RNAcentral.